GUUUCCGUGGUGUGCCUAGUGGUUUAUUAUCACAUCGGCCUAACACGCGGAAGGUCCCCGGUUCGAUCGUGGGCGGAAACA
Molecule: non-coding RNA, 81 nt
Organism: Henosepilachna vigintioctopunctata
Lineage: Eukaryota; Metazoa; Arthropoda; Insecta; Coleoptera; Coccinellidae
Source: the annotation of a GenBank genome assembly